GACGAACGCUGGCGGCGUGCUUAACACAUGCAAGUCGAACGAUGAAGCCUUUCGGGGUGGAUUAGUGGCGAACGGGUGAGUAACACGUGGGCAAUCUGCCCUUCACUCUGGGACAAGCCCUGGAAACGGGGUCUAAUACCGGAUAACACUCUGUCCCUCAUGGGGCGGGGUUAAAAGCUCCGGCGGUGAAGGAUGAGCCCGCGGCCUAUCAGCUAGUUGGUGGGGUAAUGGCCUACCAAGGCGACGACGGGUAGCCGGCCUGAGAGGGCGACCGGCCACACUGGGACUGAGACACGGCCCAGACUCCUACGGGAGGCAGCAGUGGGGAAUAUUGCACAAUGGGCGAAAGCCUGAUGCAGCGACGCCGCGUGAGGGAUGACGGCCU
This 385-nucleotide ribosomal RNA is filed under the name uncultured bacterium. RNAcentral's name for it is "bacterial SSU rRNA". It matches the Rfam family "Bacterial small subunit ribosomal RNA", at positions 28 to 417 of the family's 1533-position model. The record is from RNAcentral.